This 517-nucleotide ribosomal RNA is filed under the name uncultured bacterium. RNAcentral's name for it is "bacterial SSU rRNA". It matches the Rfam family "Bacterial small subunit ribosomal RNA", at positions 8 to 518 of the family's 1533-position model. The record is from RNAcentral.
AGAGUUUGAUCCUGGCUCAGGAUGAACGCUGGCGGCGUGCCUAAUACAUGCAAGUCGAGCGAGGUAGCUUGCUACCGAGCGGCGAACGGGUGAGUAACACGUAGAUAACCUGCCUUUAAGACUGGGAUACCCGAGGGAAACUUCGGCUAAUACCGGAUAACAACGGAGACGGCAUCGUUUCCGCUUGAAAGGGGCGUUUGCCCCACUUUUUAGAUGGAUCUGCGGCACAUUAGCUAGUUGGUGAGAUAAUAGCCCACCAAGGCGAGGAUGUGUAGCCGACCUGAGAGGGUGACCGGCCACAAUGGGACUGAGACACGGCCCAUACUCCUACGGGAGGCAGCAGUAGGGAGUUUUCGGCAAUGGGCGAAAGCCUGACCGAGCAACGCCGCGUGAGUGAUGAAGGUUCCUUCGGAUUGCAAAGCUCUGUUACGAGGGACGAAUGCUUUGAUCAGGAAAUGGGUCAGAGAGAGACGGUACCGAGGAAGAAAGUGACGGCUAACUACGUGCCAGCAGCGGC